CCAGUUAUCUCUUCUCCUCCAUCUUUCUCUCUCUUGUCUAACCUCACCUCCUUCCCUCCAUCUUUUUCUCUUAAUUUCACGUCCACGCGGUUUCCUCCAACUUUCGUCAAUUGGACAAGAAAUGGGAUAGGGAUAGAAAUAGGAAGCACCUACCAAGAAAUACAAAAUUUAAGAGAUGCUAUCAGGACUACGUUUGAUAACAUUUUAAUAAUAAAUGGCAGCUUCCUUCCCGGUAACUACACCUGCUCCAUUAGCAAUACUCAAGGAUACACUGAAGCUUCUUUUGUAGUCAGAGCUCCAGAUAGUCCUCCGUCUAAUCUCACUGCUAGCUUCUUAGGAGCAGGUGAUGUGAGAGUAUCAUGGACCCCGCCCACUGGUGAUAUUGACGGAUACCAGCUGUAUUAUCAGGAGUCUGGGGGGUCUGAUGCAGGAUUGAUUAAUAUUACAGGAACCAAUGAGAGUGCUGUGUUGAGGUCGUUAGUGGGUGGGGCUAGUUAUAAUAUAUAUGUGAUAGCGUAUGCUCAUAUUCCAAGUGAGAGCAGCGAGACACUCACUAUUACUCUCAAUGGUAAUUAAUAACAAUAAAAUAAUAAUCUCAAUAUUUUAUAAUAACAGUUUAUACAAGUACAGGAGUGUUAACCACAAUGUAGUGCGACCCACAAUAGCUUUUACAAAUAUCAGUGUAUAAAAAUGAGACUUUGAAGGCUUGAGUACUAGGACAGAAUUGAAGAAGUUUAACAAAUUUUUGGAAUGGGGUCAUCCCCUG
This is a long non-coding RNA of Amphimedon queenslandica, 766 nucleotides long. RefSeq lists it as uncharacterized. The transcript has 3 exons. The record is from RefSeq and is a predicted model, not a curated record. Lineage: Eukaryota; Metazoa; Porifera; Demospongiae; Haplosclerida; Niphatidae.